AGAGUUUGAUCCUGGCUCAGAUUGAACGCUGGCGGUAUGCUUUACACAUGCAAGUCGAACGGCAGCACGGGGCAACCUGGUGGCGAGUGGCGAACGGGUGAGUAAUAUAUCGGAACAUGUCCGGAAGUGGGGGAUAACGUACCGAAAGGUACGCUAAUACCGCAUAUGCCCUGAGGGGGAAAGGGGGGGAUCGCAAGACCUCUCGCUUUCGGAGUGGCCGAUAUCGGAUUAGCUAGAUGGUGAGGUAAAGGCUCACCAUGGCGACGAUCCGUAGCUGGUCUGAGAGGACGACCAGCCACACUGGAACUGAGACACGGUCCAGACUCCUACGGGAGGCAGCAGUGGGGAAUUUUGGACAAUGGGGGCAACCCUGAUCCAGCCAUACCGCGUGAGUGAAGAAGGCCUUCGGGUUGUAAAGCUCUUUCGGACAGAAAGAAAUCGUGCGGGCUAAUACCCCGUAUGGAUGACGGUACUGUAAGAAGAAGCACCGGCUAACUACGUGCCAGCAGCCGCGGUAAUACGUAGGGUGCGAGCGUUAAUCGGAAUUACUGGGCGUAAAGCGUGCGCAGGCGGUUUUGUAAGACAGGUGUGAAAUCCCCGGGCUUAACCUGGGAACUGCAUUUGUGACUGCAAGGCUAGAGUGUAGCAGAGGGGGGUAGAAUUCCACGUGUAGCAGUGAAAUGCGUAGAGAUGUGGAGGAAUACCGAUGGCGAAGGCAGCCCCCUGGGUUAACACUGACGCUCAUGCACGAAAGCGUGGGGAGCAAACAGGAUUAGAUACCCUGGUAGUCCACGCCCUAA
This 800-nucleotide ribosomal RNA is filed under the name uncultured bacterium. RNAcentral describes it as "bacterial SSU rRNA". It matches the Rfam family "Bacterial small subunit ribosomal RNA", at positions 8 to 805 of the family's 1533-position model. The record is from RNAcentral.